Molecule: transfer RNA, 73 nt
Filed under: Alitibacter langaaensis DSM 22999
Lineage: Bacteria; Pseudomonadati; Pseudomonadota; Gammaproteobacteria; Pasteurellales; Pasteurellaceae
Description: Pasteurella langaaensis DSM 22999 tRNA-Lys
Rfam family: tRNA
About the family: Transfer RNA (tRNA) molecules are approximately 80 nucleotides in length.
Source: RNAcentral
GGGUCGUUAGCUCAGUCGGUAGAGCAGUGGACUUUUAAUCCAUUGGUCGAAGGUUCGAAUCCUUCACGACCCA